Molecule: long non-coding RNA, 795 nt
Organism: Nerophis ophidion (straightnose pipefish)
Lineage: Eukaryota; Metazoa; Chordata; Actinopteri; Syngnathiformes; Syngnathidae
Exons: 7
Source: RefSeq, a predicted model, not a curated record
CAGUGGAUGAUGUCGGAUCCUAACAGAGGGCUAAAUCACUAGUUAACUAUUUUCAUCUUGGAAGUUAUACAGCUCACGUAUCACACUUAAUAUUGAAUAUAUAUAAAAAGGGUUUUCCAAAAGGACCAUUUAUAAUUGAAAUACAAAACUUCACACACGAUUUUGAGCACAACAGAGCGCUCAGUGAACAUCACUUCCGGGACCUGCAUCACCGGAGGGGGACAUCUAUCUUGGCCACAAACCAUCUUUGACAGUCUUCGACAGCAUGGUUGAAUCAGGCGCAUCAACACAUGAAAUAGACAUCGUGUCCAAAAGAAGAGCGAGACGUAAUCCUGAGGCUGAAGCCACCGAGUUUAUUUGAUCUGGAUGUGACAAGUCUUGUUUUAAGGCCCAGUGGAUCAAUGAUUGGAAAGACACCAACUGUUGAUGUUCUAUCUCAACAUUCUCCAGAUUCAUGUGAGCGAUAAACCGACUUCAUCCCUCCAACAGACACCAACUGUUGGGGUUCUAUCUCAACAUUCUCCAGAUUCAGAUGUGAGCGAUAAACCGACUUCAUCCCUCCAACAGAAACCAACUGUUGAGGUUCCAUCUCAACAUUCUCCAGAUUCAGAUGUGAGCCAUUAACUGACUUCAUCCCUCCAACAGAAACCAACUGUUGAGGUUCUAUCUCAACAUUCUCUAGAUUCAGAUGACAGCCAUAAACCGACUUCAUCCCUCCAACAGAUUGACAGCAGGACAAAUCGCUGGAAGUGGGUAUGUCUCAAGCUUCUUCCACUUGGUCCACUCCAAAGCGGG